Molecule: ribosomal RNA, 252 nt
Filed under: uncultured bacterium
Lineage: Bacteria
Description: partial 16S ribosomal RNA
Rfam family: Bacterial small subunit ribosomal RNA
Source: RNAcentral
UACGGAGGGUGCAAGCGUUGUCCGGAUUUAUUGGGUUUAAAGGGUGCGUAGGUGGAACUGUAAGUCUGAUUUGAAAGCAAGCGGCUUAACCGUUUGAUGUGGUUGGAAACUGUGGUUCUUGAAUGGGUUGGCGGUAGCCGGAAUGGGUCAUGUAGCGGUGAAAUGCAUAGAUAUGACCCGGAACACCGAUUGCGAAGGCAGGCUACUACGACUUGAUUGACACUGAGGCACGAGAGCAUGGGUAGCGAACAG